UACGAAUAUUUUUAACAAUUACUUUAUACUAUUCUACAAUUAACUUAAGUAUUAAAAAAAUAACAUUGGCUUUUAUAUUUUUAAAAAUCUAUAGGUACCUACACAGUUUUUCUUAUUUGUUAUAUAUUUCUUUGGAUAGAUUUACUUUAGAGAUGUAAUAAUAUCUAAUAAACGAAAUAUUGAUUAAAUAAAAAAUAAAAAAAGUAAAGAUUGGUACGGGAUUCGAACCAGGAUUAUCCACGUCCGAAGACAAACGACCAGUUCUCGUCGCCAUCCGCUCGAACUGUCAAACCAUCUAAAAUACUCGACGACAGAGUAGGAUAGUGACGUCGUCGAUACUCCCCUUGAAUUAGAAAGAGACUACCGACCAAAUAGGCUCAUUUAUCUCUGUCGCAACCGUCACCCAUUUUAAGAUCGUAAGGCGCAAUCUAGAGUAUUAUAUAUCUAUGGCUAAGGCAUAUUUAUUAUGUCAGGUUAUGUUAACCUAACCUAAUUUAUUUGGUUAGGAACUUUCCUUCCAGCUCGAGUACAGUUUUGAUGUGAUAAUUCAUUGCAAGACAGUUUCAUUUAGAUUUUUUUUUACUUAUUUUUGGUGUUGGAGCUUAGUGUGGUUUCCUGUUAUCUUAUUGAGAAGCUGCAAUAAAAAGUGAAAAAUGUAGUGAUAAGAAGGUGGCGGAGCAAGAAAUUGGACGAUGGUUGAGGAGAGCCGGGGAUCGCUUAAAAACUUUCAAGGAAAAGGAAUCAGAAUAAAAAUUGAAUUUAUUUAUUUUUUAAAUAAUAAAGAUAUAUUCACCUA
This is an RNA transcript of Diabrotica virgifera virgifera (western corn rootworm), 796 nucleotides long. RefSeq lists it as uncharacterized. The transcript has 2 exons. The record is from RefSeq and is a predicted model, not a curated record. Lineage: Eukaryota; Metazoa; Arthropoda; Insecta; Coleoptera; Chrysomelidae.